Molecule: ribosomal RNA, 550 nt
Filed under: Papiliotrema aurea
Lineage: Eukaryota; Fungi; Basidiomycota; Tremellomycetes; Tremellales; Rhynchogastremaceae
Description: eukaryotic LSU rRNA
Rfam family: Eukaryotic large subunit ribosomal RNA
Source: RNAcentral
GCUCAAAUUUGAAAUCUGGCGUCGUCAGGGCGUCCGAGUUGUAAUCUAUACAGUCGUUUUCCGUGCCGGACCGUGUCAAGUUCCUUGGAACAGGAUAUCAAAGGGGUGACAAUCCCGUACUUGACACGACGCCAGGUGCUCUGUGAUACGUCUUCUACCAAUCUAGUUGUUGGCAAUGCAGCUCAAAAUGGGUGGUGAGUUCCAUCUAAAGCUAAAUAUUGGCGACAGACCGAUAGCAAACCAGUACCGUGAGGAAAAGAUGAAAUUUACUUUGAAAAUAAAGUUAUACAUUACGUGAAAUUGUUGAAAGGGAAACGAUUGAAAUCUGCCUUGUCUGAGUGGCUCAUCCGGUUCUGCCGGUGUAUUCCUCUCCCACAGGGCGACCUCAGUUUUGUUCGGUGGAUUAGGGUGGCGCGAAGGUACCACCCCCGGCUGAGUUAUACCCCGCUGUCACGAUGAUCGCUCGAUACUGCCGAAUGCCCCUCCUCUUAUGGCCAGGGUUCGCCCACGUUCGAGCUUAGGAUGUUGACGUAAUGGCUUUAAACGACCC